Molecule: transfer RNA, 74 nt
Filed under: Papilio xuthus (Asian swallowtail)
Lineage: Eukaryota; Metazoa; Arthropoda; Insecta; Lepidoptera; Papilionidae
Rfam family: tRNA
About the family: Transfer RNA (tRNA) molecules are approximately 80 nucleotides in length.
Source: Rfam by way of RNAcentral
GUGUCGGUGGCUCAGGGGUGUCAAGCACUUGACUUGCAAUCUGCAGGUCGUGGGUUCGAAUCCCGCCAUGUACC